This is a long non-coding RNA of Sitophilus oryzae (rice weevil), 518 nucleotides long. RefSeq lists it as uncharacterized. The transcript has 3 exons. Lineage: Eukaryota; Metazoa; Arthropoda; Insecta; Coleoptera; Curculionidae. The record is from RefSeq and is a predicted model, not a curated record.
AUUUAAAAUACACGCUUUGGAUUGUAAACAUCGUAAUUUAUCGAGAUUUUUUGGGACUUUUGUUAAUUUUGAAUAAUACUUUGAUCAGUUAUAAGUUAUAAUGCCUUCAUUUUGUUGUGUUGUUAACUGCGCGAUGCGAGGAGAAAGGGAUAAAGUAUCGUUUUUUCUAUUCCCGGCUGUUUUAAAGAAUAGAGGAGAAAACAUUCAGGCUCUAUCAGAAAAAAGGCGAAAUAGUGGGGUAAAGGCUUUAAAACGAGGCCCCUUAUCUGAACAACAGCUUAAAACUUGGAGAAUUUGCUCAAGACACUUUAUAGAAGGUGAAUAAUAAUACAAGAUCACCAGCUGAACUUGAAAACAAACUUCAUCCAGACUGGAUUCCAAGCCACAACAUGGGAUAUGUUUCCAGCACCAAGCCCAGUAAAUUAGCGGUAUCAAGACACGAUAGAGUUGUGAAGCGAAAGAAGCUUAUUCAUGAGAGUUAUGAUAAAGAGGUUCAAGCUGAAGUCCAGGUAUAACCC